This 473-nucleotide ribosomal RNA is filed under the name uncultured bacterium. Its description in RNAcentral is "bacterial SSU rRNA". It matches the Rfam family "Bacterial small subunit ribosomal RNA", at positions 355 to 825 of the family's 1533-position model. The record is from RNAcentral.
UGGGGAAUUGUUCGCAAUGGGCGCAAGCCUGACGACGCAACGCCGCGUGGAGGAUGAAGACCUUCGGGUCGUAAACUCCUUUCGAUCGAGACGAAUGGCCUCCGGGUGAACAAUCCGGAGGAGUGACGGUACCGAGAGAAGAAGCCCCGGCUAACUCCGUGCCAGCAGCCGCGGUAAUACAGAGGGUGCGAGCGUUAAUCGGAAUUACUGGGCGUAAAGCGCACGUAGGUGGCGACGUAAGUCGGGUGUGAAAGCCCCGGGCUCAACCUGGGAAUUGCAUUCGAGACUGUGUUGCUGGAGUACGGAAGAGGAGGGCGGAAUUCCCGGUGUAGCGGUGAAAUGCGUAGAUAUCGGGAGGAACAUCAGUGGCGAAGGCGGCCCUCUGGUCCAGUACUGACACUCAAGUGCGAAAGCGUGGGGAGCAAACAGGAUUAGAUACCCGAGUAGUCCCUGAGCGGGCUGGCAAGGCGCAU